RNAcentral lists this ribosomal RNA (744 nucleotides) under uncultured bacterium. RNAcentral's name for it is "bacterial SSU rRNA". It matches the Rfam family "Bacterial small subunit ribosomal RNA", at positions 8 to 796 of the family's 1533-position model. The record is from RNAcentral.
AGAGUUUGAUCAUGGCUCAGAGCGAACGCUGGCGGCAGGCUUAACACAUGCAAGUCGAGCGGGCGUAGCAAUACGUCAGCGGCAGACGGGUGAGUAACGCGUGGGAACGUACCUUUUGGUUCGGAACAACCCAGGGAAACUUGGGCUAAUACCGGAUAAGCCCUUACGGGGAAAGAUUUAUCGCCGAAAGAUCGGCCCGCGUCUGAUUAGCUAGUUGGUGAGGUAAUGGCUCACCAAGGCGACGAUCAGUAGCUGGUCUGAGAGGAUGAUCAGCCACAUUGGGACUGAGACACGGCCCAAACUCCUACGGGAGGCAGCAGUGGGGAAUAUUGGACAAUGGGCGCAAGCCUGAUCCAGCCAUGCCGCGUGAGUGAUGAAGGCCCUAGGGUUGUAAAGCUCUUUUGUGCGGGAAGAUAAUGACGGUACCGCAAGAAUAAGCCCCGGCUAACUUCGUGCCAGCAGCCGCGGUAAUACGAAGGGGGCUAGCGUUGCUCGGAAUCACUGGGCGUAAAGGGUGCGUAGGCGGGUCUUUAAGUCAGGGGUGAAAUCCUGGAGCUCAACUCCAGAACUGCCUUUGAUACUGAAGAUCUUGAGUUCGGGAGAGGUGAGUGGAACUGCGAGUGUAGAGGUGAAAUUCGUAGAUAUUCGCAAGAACACCAGUGGCGAAGGCGGUUCACUGGCCCGAUACUGACGCUGAGGCACGAAAGCGUGGGGAGCAAACAGGAUUAGAUACCCUAGUAGUCC